This 22-nucleotide unclassified non-coding RNA is filed under the name Chlamydomonas reinhardtii. RNAcentral's name for it is "small RNA Cre_2258". The record is from RNAcentral. Lineage: Eukaryota; Viridiplantae; Chlorophyta; Chlorophyceae; Chlamydomonadales; Chlamydomonadaceae.
UACUGCAGGGGCAUCUCGAUGU